RNAcentral lists this ribosomal RNA (443 nucleotides) under uncultured bacterium. RNAcentral's name for it is "partial 16S ribosomal RNA". It matches the Rfam family "Bacterial small subunit ribosomal RNA", at positions 338 to 795 of the family's 1533-position model. The record is from RNAcentral.
CCUACGGUGUGCAGCAGUGGGGAAUAUUGGGCACUGGGGGGAACCCUGAUCCAGCGACGCCGCGUGAGUGAAGAAGUAUUUCGGUAUGUAAAGCUCUAUCAGCAGGGAAGAAAGAAAUGACGGUACCUGACUAAGAAGCCACGGCUAACUACGUGCCAGCAGCCGCGGUAAUACGGAGGGUGCAAGCGUUAUCCGGAUUGACUGGGUGUAAAGGGAGCGUAGACGGUGGGACAAUUCUGAAGUGAAAGCCCGGGGCUCAACCCCGGGACUGCUUUGGAAACUGCCUGACUGGAGUUCUGGAGAGGCAAGCGGAAUUCCUAGUGUAGCGGUGAAAUGCGUAGAUAUUAGGAAGAACACCAGUUGCGAAGGCGGCAAUCUGGCUGGAAACUGACGCUGAGGUGCGAAAGCGUGGGUAGCAAACAGGAUUAGAUACCCCUGUAGUC